UGGGGAAUCUUAGACAAUGGGCGAAAGCCUGAUCUAGCGAUGCCGCGUGAGUGAUGAAGGUCUUAGGAUCGUAAAGCUCUUUCGCCAGGGAUGAUAAUGACAGUACCUGGUAAAGAAACCCCGGCUAACUCCGUGCCAGCAGCCGCGGUAAUACGGAGGGGGUUAGCGUUGUUCGGAAUUACUGGGCGUAAAGCGCGCGUAGGCGGACUAUUAAGUCAGGGGUGAAAUCCCGGGGCUCAACCCCGGAACUGCCUUUGAUACUGGUAGUCUUGAGUUCGAGAGAGGUGAGUGGAAUUCCGAGUGUAGAGGUGAAAUUCGUAGAUAUUCGGAAGAACACCAGUGGCGAAGGCGACUCGCUGGACAGGUAUUGACGCUGAGGUGCGAAAGCGUGGGGAGCAAACAGGAUUAGAUACCCCCGUAGUCC
Molecule: ribosomal RNA, 424 nt
Filed under: uncultured prokaryote
Description: bacterial SSU rRNA
Rfam family: Bacterial small subunit ribosomal RNA
Source: RNAcentral